GACGAACGCUGGCGGCGUGCCUAAUACAUGCAAGUCGAGCGAUGAUUAAAGAUAGCUUGCUAUUUUUAUGAAGAGCGGCGAACGGGUGAGUAACGCGUGGGAAAUCUGCCGAGUAGCGGGGGACAACGUUUGGAAACGAACGCUAAUACCGCAUAACAAUGAGAAUCGCAUGAUUCUUAUUUAAAAGAAGCAAUUGCUUCACUACUUGAUGAUCCCGCGUUGUAUUAGCUAGUUGGUAGUGUAAAGGACUACCAAGGCGAUGAUACAUAGCCGACCUGAGAGGGUGAUCGGCCACACUGGGACUGAGACACGGCCCAGACUCCUACGGAAGGCAGCAGUAGGGAAUCUUCGGCAAUGGGGGCAACCCUGACCGAGCAACGCCGCGUGAGUGAAGAAGGUUUUCGGAUCGUAAAACUCUGUUGUUAGAGAAGAACGUUAAGUAGAGUGGAAAAUUACUUAAGUGACGGUAUCUAACCAGAAAGGGACGGCUAACUACGUGCCAGCCGCCGCCGUAA
RNAcentral lists this ribosomal RNA (515 nucleotides) under uncultured bacterium. RNAcentral describes it as "partial 16S ribosomal RNA". It matches the Rfam family "Bacterial small subunit ribosomal RNA", at positions 28 to 523 of the family's 1533-position model. The record is from RNAcentral.